Molecule: ribosomal RNA, 468 nt
Filed under: uncultured bacterium
Lineage: Bacteria
Description: partial 16S ribosomal RNA
Rfam family: Bacterial small subunit ribosomal RNA
Source: RNAcentral
GACGAACGCUGGCGGCGUGCUUAACACAUGCAAGUCGAACGGAAAGGCCCUGCUUUUGUGGGGUGCUCGAGUGGCGAACGGGUGAGUAACACGUGAGCAACCUGCCCUUGACUUUGGGAUAACUUCAGGAAACUGGGGCUAAUACCGGAUAGGAGCUCCUGCUGCAUGGUGGGGGUUGGAAAGUUUCGGCGGUUGGGGAUGGACUCGCGGCUUAUCAGCUUGUUGGUGGGGUAGUGGCUUACCAAGGCUUUGACGGGUAGCCGGCCUGAGAGGGUGACCGGCCACAUUGGGACUGAGAUACGGCCCAGACUCCUACGGGAGGCAGCAGUGGGGAAUACUGCACAAUGGGCGGAAGCCUGAUGCAGCAACGCCGCGUGCGGGAUGACGGCCUUCGGGUUGUAAACCGCUUUCGCCUGUGACGAAGCGUGAGUGACGGUAAUGGGUAAAGAAGCACCGGCUAACUACGUG